Molecule: ribosomal RNA, 263 nt
Filed under: uncultured bacterium
Lineage: Bacteria
Description: partial 16S ribosomal RNA
Rfam family: Bacterial small subunit ribosomal RNA
Source: RNAcentral
GUCCACGCCCUAAACGAUGUCAACUAGGUGUUGGGUGGGUAAACCAUUUAGUACCGGAGCUAACGCGUGAAGUUGACCGCCUGGGGAGUACGGCCGCAAGGUUAAACUCAAAGGAAUUGACGGGGACCCGCACAAGCGGUGGAUGAUGUGGAUUAAUUCGAUGCAACGCGAAAACCUUACCUACCCUUGACAUGUCCGGAAGCCCUUAGAGAUUUGGGUGUGCUCGAAAGAGAGCCGGAACACAGGUGCUGCAUGGCUGUCGU